GGUCAAGAUAUUAAGGGCGUGCGGGGGAUGACUAGGCACUUGAAAGCGAUGAAGGACGUGGAAACCUGCGAUAAGCCUCGGGGAGGUGGUAACAACCGUUAUUACCCGGGGAUUUCCGAAUGGGGAAACCCGGCCGGUUUGAAUACCGGUCGCCCGCAACUGAAUGCAUAGGUUGCAGGGAGCAAACGCAGAGAACUGAACCAUCUCAGUACCUGCAGGAAAAGAAAUCGAAGAGACUUCCUGAGUAGCGGCGAGCGAAAGGGAAUUAGCCCAAACCGUUUACGUGUAAGCGUGCAGGCGUUGCGUAAGCGGGGUCGCGGGAAACACAUGUCGGGACUGCAAGCCCGGCGCGGAGUUACAAAUCCGGCCUUAACUGAACAGACUGGAAAGUCUGGCCGUAGAAGGUGAAAGCCCUGUAAGUGAAAAGGUAACGGACUCCGGUGUCUCUCCCAAGUACUGUCAGAUAGGAGGAACCUGGCAGGAAUUUAGGGAACCCACUCUCUAAGGCUAAGUAUUCUCAAGUGACCGAUAGUGCACCAGUACCGUAAGGGAAAGUUGGAAAGAUCCCCGGAAGGGGAGGAAUUGAUCCUGAAACCGCAUGCCUACAAGCAGUCGGAGCUCUAUACCCGUAUGGGCAAGAGUGACGGCGUGCCUUUUGCAUAAUGAUCCGGCGAGUUACGUUGCGUUGCAAGGUUAAGUGUCUCGGACACGAAGCCGAAGCGAAAGCGAGUGCGAAACGUGCGUAUAGUAACGUGGCGUAGACCCGAAACCGGAGGAUCUAUCCAUGGCCAGGGUGAAGUGGGCUUAACCGCCCAUGGAGGCCCGAACCGUUUAGAGUUGAAAAUCUAUCGGAUGAGCUGUGGAUAGGAGUGAAAAGCUAACCGACUUCGGAGAUAGCUGGUUCUCCGCGAAAAAACUUUAGGGUUUGCCUCAGGUAAUAGUGCGUGGGGGUAGAGAUACUGAGAGGAUUGGUGGGCGGUUCGCCGUACCCCAUCCUUUCAAACUCCGAAUACCAUGUACCGUAUCCUGGGAGUAAGACCGUAGGGGAUAAGCUCUAUGGUCGAGAGGGAGAUAACCCAGAACAGCAGCUAAGGUCCCCAAGCCUACGCUAAGUGGACAAAGGAAGUGGAAGUGCUAAGACAGCCGGGAUGUUGGCUUAGAAGCAGCCACCAUUUAAAAAGUGCGUAAUAGCUUACCGGUCGAGCACUUUCGCGCCGACAAUGAUCGGGACUAAGCGUAGCACCGAAGCUCUGUCUGCAUGGAUACCUGGCAGGUUCCAUGCGGGGUAGCGGAGCGUUCCAGUCUGCAUUGAAGCCAUACCGUGAGGAGUGGUGGAGUGACUGGAAGUGAUCAUGCCGGAUUGAGUAGCGAUAAAACGGGUUAGAAUCCCGUUCGUCGUAAGCCUAAGGGUUCCGGGGCAAGGUAAUUCCGCCUCGGGUUAGUCGGUCCCUAAGACGAGGCCGAAAGGCGUAGUUGAUGGGAAUGACGUUAAUAUUCGUCAACCACAUGUAAGUGCGAUGGGGAGACCCGGAGCGUAUAGACUAGGGCCUGUUGGAUGGUCCGUUGCCUUGAGGGGUGGCAGGUAGGUAAAUCCGCCUGCGUAAUCUUCGAUUGGUGAGACGGCGCGGCUUCGGCCAAACCGUACUGUCUGGCUGCUUCGGCAAGAAAAUCCUCUAAGCUUCAGCUUAUGUGUGACCGUACCCGAAACCGACACAGGUAGGCGAGGAGAAUAUCCUCAGACGCGCGUGAGAACUCUGUUGAAGGAACUCGGCAAAUUGGCCCCGUACGUUCGCUAGAAGGGGCGCCUACCUCGCAAGAGGAGGCCACAGAAAAGAGGUUCCACCGACUGUUUAUCAAAAACACAGCUCUCUGCUAACUCCGAAGAGGAUGUAUAGGGAGCGACGCUUGCCCAAUGCUGGAAGGUCAAGGGAAUCGGUCAGGCUUCGGCCAAAGCUGUGAACCUAAGCCCCAGUGAAUGGCGGCCCUAACUAUGAGGGUCCUAAGGUAGCGAAAUUCCUUGGCUGGUAAGUUCAGUCCCGCACGAAGAGCGGCACGAGUGGAACACUGUCUCCAACAGGGACACGGCGAAAUAGGAGUCGUUGUGAAGAUACAACGUACCCGCAGCUAGGCGGAAAGACCCUAUGCAGCUUUACUGUAGUCUGACAUUGGGCUUUUGUAUGUAAUGCGCAGGAUAGGUGGGAGGCUUUGAGACCUGGGUUCUGGUCCAGGUGGAGCCAUCGGUGAGAUACCACCCUUUAUGUAUGAGAGUUCUAACCCUGUCCCGUGAAUCCGGGCAGGGGACACUGUUUGACGGUCAGUUUGACUGGGGCGGUUUCCUCCCAAAAAGUAACGGAGGAGUUCAAAGGUACCCUCAGGGCGGUCGGUCAUCGCCCGAAGAGCGCAAAGGUAGAAGGGUGCUUGACUGCGAGACUAAUAGGUCGAGCAGAUGCGAAAGCAGGACUUAGUGAUCCUGUGGAUCCGUGUGGAAGGGACAUAGCUCAUCAGAUAAAAGCUACGCUAGGGAUAACAGGCUGAUCCUACCUAAGAGUCCAUAUCGACGGUAGGGUUUGGCACCUCGAUGUCGGCUCAUCGCAUCCUGGGGCUGAAGGCGGUCCCAAGGGUUUGGCUGUUCGCCAAUUAAAGCGGUACGUGAGCUGGGUUCAGACCGGCGCGAGCCAGGUUGGUCCCUACCUACUGUGGGCGGAGGAGUCUUGAGCGAGUCUAACCUUAGUACGAGAGGAUUGGGUUGGACGGACCUCUGGUGUUCCUGUUGGGCCGCCAGGCCCAGCGCAGGGUAGCUACGUCCGGAAAGGAUAAGCGCUGAAAGCAUAUAAGCGCGAAGCCCUUCGCAAGAUAAGGACUCCCCAUCAGGACCGUGGUAGACUACCACGUCGAUAGGCCGGGUGUGUAACCUCCGAGAGGAGAAAGCUAACCGGUACUAAUCAUCCGAUCGGCUUGACCUC
Molecule: ribosomal RNA, 2963 nt
Filed under: Planctomycetota bacterium
Lineage: Bacteria; Pseudomonadati; Planctomycetota
Description: Planctomycetes bacterium (bioreactor metagenome) 23S ribosomal RNA
Rfam family: Bacterial large subunit ribosomal RNA
Source: RNAcentral